AGAGUUUGAUCCUGGCUCAGGAUGAACGCUAGCGACAGGCCUAACACAUGCAAGUCGAGGGGUAUAGUAGCAAUACUAGAGACCGGCGCACGGGUGCGUAACGCGUAUGUAACCUGCCUCACACUGGGGGAUAGCCUUCCGAAAGGGAGAUUAAUACCGCAUAAUAUUGUUUAUCUGCCUGGAUAGACAAUUAAAGCUUCGGUGGUGUGAGAUGGACAUGCGUAUGAUUAGCUAGUUGGCGGGGUAACGGCCCACCAAGGCGACGAUCAUUAGGGGUUCUGAGAGGAAGAUCCCCCACACUGGUACUGAGACACGGACCAGACUCCUACGGGAGGCAGCAGUGAGGAAUAUUGGUCAAUGGGCGAAAGCCUGAACCAGCCAUGUCGCGUGCAGGAAGACGGCCCUAUGGGUUGUAAACUGCUUUUGUAUGGGAAGAAACGACGGUACGAGUACUGUUUUGCCGGUACCAUACGAAUAAGGAUCGGCUAACUCCGUGCCAGCAGCCGCGGUAAUACGGAGGAUCCAAGCGUUAUCCGGAUUUAUUGGGUUUAAAGGGUGCGUAGGCGGGAGAUUAAGUCAGUGGUGAAAGUUUGCGGCUCAACCGUAAAAUUGCCAUUGAUACUGGUUUUCUUGAGUACAGUUGAGGUAGGCGGAAUGUGGUGUGUAGCGGUGAAAUGCUUAGAUAUACCACAGAACACCGAUUGCGAAGGCAGCUUACUAAGUUGUGACUGACGCUGAAGCACGAAAGCAUGGGGAUCAAACAGGAUUAGAUACCCUGGUAGUCG
RNAcentral lists this ribosomal RNA (785 nucleotides) under uncultured bacterium. RNAcentral describes it as "bacterial SSU rRNA". It matches the Rfam family "Bacterial small subunit ribosomal RNA", at positions 8 to 796 of the family's 1533-position model. The record is from RNAcentral.